ACUUCUGGAUAGGGAUUUGCAGCAGCCAGCACCUUGGAAGGACUGAACAGAGUUCAGCAGUCACUUCUCCAUGGAUCUUG
RNAcentral lists this long non-coding RNA (80 nucleotides) under Meleagris gallopavo (turkey). Its description in RNAcentral is "lncRNA (ENSMGAG00000020736.1)". The record is from RNAcentral. Lineage: Eukaryota; Metazoa; Chordata; Aves; Galliformes; Phasianidae.